CUGCAGAGAGUAUCUUUCCUGAUUGUGUCCAGGAGGAGGAGGGUUAAGAAUGCAGAGAGGAGGGUGGGAAGGGAAUCCCUCGCUUGGAACUUGAGACUUUCCAGCUGAGAGGGGGAUGCAGACGUCACUCUCCUCACUGCUGCGCUCAGCUCCCAUGUCAAAGGAAGUCCAGGGAAAGAGCAUCAAGGAAUCCAGCACCACUGAGAAUACAGAUAUGUAAUGCCAUCACUUCCGACUUCGGUUGGUUCUGGAAGCAGCAGGGAUGAUUCCUCCUCAACAAAAGCACUUCUUCAAGAAUCCUGAACUAGGCAUGCCCUCAUUAUGAGGAAAAGUAAGCCACAUUUUUCUCUCUCUUGCCUGUGCUAUACGGAAGGGAAUAUACUCCACCUUA
This 391-nucleotide long non-coding RNA is filed under the name Podarcis muralis (Common wall lizard). RNAcentral describes it as "lncRNA (ENSPMRG00000009868.1)". The record is from RNAcentral. Lineage: Eukaryota; Metazoa; Chordata; Lepidosauria; Squamata; Lacertidae.